AUGAUUGCUGCCUCUCUCCCGCCUCAUUUUUGGGCUGAGGUUGUCUCCACAUCCACCUAUCUGAUCAAUAUACAGCCUUCCGCUGCUCUACAGGGUGGUGUUCCUUUCGAGCGACUUUUUGAUUGUUCUCCCGAUUAUUCGAUGCUUCGCUCGUUUGGUUGUGUUUGCUAUGUUCUUCUUGCCUCUCGGGAACGCACCAAACUGACCGCUCAGUCUGUUGAGUGUGUCUUCUUAGGCUACAGUGAUGAGCAUAAGGGCUAUCGUUGUUGGGAUCCUAUUGGUCGUCGGAUGCGUAUCUCUCGAGACGUGACUUUUGAUGAGUCUCGUCCCUUCUACCCACGCCCAUCUUCCUCGACUUUUUCAAUGCAGGAUAUCUCUUUCCUCACUUUUCCUGACUCACCUAUCACCCCCGUCGAGACUGUACCUCUCCGUUCCACUUCCUCUCCUUCCCCACCUCUAGUUGAUUUGCAGCCACCAUCCUCUCCGGUCUCCUCGCCGAGCAUGUCACCGGGUUCUCCACCUUCAUCUCCGGUGACUUCCUCUCCGGUCUCCUCUCCCAGCCUAUCACUGGACUCUACACCUUCAUCUCCGGUGAUUUCUUCGUCACCACCCCCCGAUUCUACCUUGACGAUUCCUCCUUCUAUUAUUCCAUCUUUUCCUCAGCAUUACACUCGUCGUCCACGACCAGUCGAUGCUUCUGUGGAUGAGUCGUCCUCUUCCUCUCAGCCUACUUAUGGCUUGCGUUCUCGUCCUCGCCCGCCUGUUGAUCGCUUUGGCUUUCCCACCGCUGGUGCUGCUGUUCUAGAGCCAACUUCUUACCAUCAGGCUGUUGUUCAUCCUGAAUGGCAGUUUGCGAUGGCAGAGGAGAUUGCUGCUCUUGAACGCACUGGUACCUGGGAUCUUGUUUCUCUUCCUCCCGGAGUUCGUCCGAUCACUUGUAAGUGGGUCUACAAGGUUAAGACUCGCUCCGAUGGUUCGCUUGAGCGUCACAAAGCUCGUCUUGUGGCUCGUGGUUUUCAGCCAUGGUCGUGA
This 1032-nucleotide ribosomal RNA is filed under the name Triticum aestivum (bread wheat). RNAcentral's name for it is "partial small subunit ribosomal RNA". Lineage: Eukaryota; Viridiplantae; Streptophyta; Magnoliopsida; Poales; Poaceae. The record is from RNAcentral.